Non-coding RNA from Ictidomys tridecemlineatus (thirteen-lined ground squirrel), 1171 nucleotides. The record is from RefSeq and is a predicted model, not a curated record. Lineage: Eukaryota; Metazoa; Chordata; Mammalia; Rodentia; Sciuridae.
CACCCACCAUGAUGGAAGCAGCCAGGGGGCCCCUCACCAGAGCUGGCAACAUCCUGUUUGGACUAUCAAUCUCUAAAACAAGUUAACUGACUGCAAAGAAAACGCAAGCCCUGUCAUCUGUUGCCUGGCCAACAUCUGGGUGAUUGGGUGGAGAGCUUAGGUUUGCACUAGGUAAUAUAACGCCUCACUUGUCUUCGUUGGAUGCAAACUCAAAGAAUCAUGCUUUGCUGAUGGUGGUGAUUUACUACAAUUGGAUUAACAGCAUUUUCAAAUGUACACUCACUGGAAGCAAAUUCACUAAUAUCAAAAGAAGACAUGAAUUAGUUGCAAUGCCUUAUGGUUGUGCUUCCAAGCAGAAAAGACAGCUGCUGUCCCUUGCUGCAUUUUGGAUUCCAUGUGACAAGCAAUGGCUCAGUCUUUCAAGGGGAAAACUCUGAGGAAGCUUUUGUCUUGUCUCAGGGACUAUCUCUUGAGAGGCAGUCCUGUCAGCCAGGAGUCAAAUAAAUUCAGGCUUCGAGACUCAGAGGAGGAGAUGAGCUGUGCAUUUGCUCUCUUGGCAUGCAUCCUGGGCUCUCUGUGAAGAUCUUUCUCCUUAAGACAAAUUAUGGGUCCCUAAGACCUUUCACUAAAGGAAACAUUACUCAUGCAAAUUAAAUAGUGCAUUCUAGAUGGGGUGAGAGGUCUCUAUUACUAGUAUUUUUUUUUUUUUAAUUUAGGAACUUAGGCCUUGAGUUUUCAGUGAAGCUCUGUGCUAUUUAUAGACCAUAGAGCUGGAAUAUUAGACACUAUGCAUUUGUCUACCUUUUGCAUUCCAAUGCUUUGUAAUCACGGUUUAGGUCUUUGUAAUCCUUGCCUGCUGAUAUAAAUAAGAGAGACAGACGUUGUUAUGAGAUUGUGAACAAAACACUUUGUUGCAUUAAAGUUUGUAAGACAUAUUCAACCAUGUCUAGCCUGAUGAGUGAUUUUAAGGGUUAAUUAGUUCAAAUUUACAGAGUGCUUGGAAAAGAAAGUGUGGUAUACAGAAACUAAUUAAUAAAAUAUACACUUCAUAAACAUGUCAACCAUCUCACCCUAAUCUUCCCCUCUCCAAAAUAUUGCUAGUUUAUUUUUGUAUUAUGUAUUUGCCUUUAUGAGACCCAAUAAAAUAUUUCUCUUAUUGUUUCAAUAUCAA